Molecule: ribosomal RNA, 313 nt
Filed under: uncultured bacterium
Lineage: Bacteria
Description: bacterial SSU rRNA
Rfam family: Bacterial small subunit ribosomal RNA
Source: RNAcentral
AACGAACGCUGGCGGCAUGCCUAACACAUGCAAGUCGAACGAGACCUUCGGGUCUAGUGGCGCACGGGUGCGUAACGCGUGGGAAUCUGCCCUUGGGUUCGGGAAUAACAGUUAGAAAUGACUGCUAAUACCGGAUGAUGUCUUCGGACCAAAGAUUUAUCGCCCAACGGAUGAGCCCGCCGUAAGAUUAGCUAGUUGGUGAGGUAAUGGCUCACCAAGGCGACGAUCUUUAGCUGGUCUGAGAGGAUGAUCAGCCACACUGGGACUGAGACACGGCCCAGACUCCUACGGGAGGGCAGCAGUGGGGAAGUAA